RNAcentral lists this ribosomal RNA (253 nucleotides) under uncultured bacterium. RNAcentral's name for it is "partial 16S ribosomal RNA". It matches the Rfam family "Bacterial small subunit ribosomal RNA", at positions 524 to 776 of the family's 1533-position model. The record is from RNAcentral.
UCCGUAGGGACCAAGCGUUGUUCGGAUUUACUGGGCGUAAAGGGCGCGUAGGCGGCAUGACAAGUCACUUGUGAAAUCUCCGGGCUUAACUCGGAACGGUCAAGUGAUACUGUCGCGCUAGAGUGCGGAAGGGGCAAUCAGAAUUCUUGGUGUAGCGGUGAAAUGCGUAGAUAUCAAGAGGAAUACCUGAGGUGAAGACGGGUUGCUAGGCCGACACUGACGCUGAAGCGCGAAAGCCAGGGGAGCAAACGGG